AACGCACAUUGCGCCCCUUGGUAUUCCGGGGGGCAUGCCUGUUCGAGCGUCAUUAUCACCCCUCAAGCCCAGCUUGUUGUUGGACGUCGGCGGGGCCUUCGUGCCCUGCCCGUCUCAAAGAUAAUGACGGCGUCUGUGAGGACUCCUGUACACUGAGCUUUCGGGCACGUACUAGGUCAGCUCUCCAGGCCCGGUCUUUUAAGUCGCUUCGGCGACGAACUUUUACAAGGUUGACCUCGGGUCAGGUAGGAAUACCCGCUGAACUUAA
RNAcentral lists this unclassified non-coding RNA (268 nucleotides) under Hyphodiscus sp. RNAcentral describes it as "partial contains 5.8S ribosomal RNA, internal transcribed spacer 2, and large subunit ribosomal RNA". Lineage: Eukaryota; Fungi; Ascomycota; Leotiomycetes; Helotiales; Hyphodiscaceae. The record is from RNAcentral.